UGCGUAGGCGGCUCUUUAAGUCAGUGGUGAAAUCUUGCCGCUUAACGGUAAAGUUGCCAUUGAUACUGAAGAGCUUGAGUACAGUUGAGGUAAGCGGAAUGUGUAGUGUAGCGGUGAAAUGCUUAGAUAUUACACAGAACACCAAUUGCGAAGGCAGCUUACUAAACUGUUACUGACGCUGAUGCACGAAAGCGUGGGGAGCGAACAGGAUUAGAUACCCUGGUAGUCCACGCCGUAAACGAUGCUCACUCGCUGUUUGCGAUACACAGCAAGCGGCCAAGCGAAAGCAUUAAGUGAGCCACCUGGGGAGUACGAUCGCAAGGCUGAA
Molecule: ribosomal RNA, 328 nt
Filed under: uncultured bacterium
Lineage: Bacteria
Description: bacterial SSU rRNA
Rfam family: Bacterial small subunit ribosomal RNA
Source: RNAcentral